GAUGAACGCUGGCGGCGUGCCUAAUACAUGCAAGUCGAGCGAACAGACGAGGAGCUUGCUCCUCUGACGUUAGCGGCGGACGGGUGAGUAACACGUGGAUAACCUACCUAUAAGACUGGGAUAACUUCGGGAAACCGGAGCUAAUACCGGAGAAUAUAUUGAACCGCAUGGUUCAAUAGUGAAAGACGGUUUUGCUGUCACUUAUAGAGGGAUCCGCGCCGCAUUAGCUAGUUGGUAAGGUAACGGCUUACCAAGGCAACGAUGCGUAGCCGAGCUGAGAGGGUGAUCGGCCACACUGGAACUGAGACACGGUCCAGACUCCUACGGGAGGCAGCAGUAGGGAAUCUUCCGCAAUGGGCGAAAGCUUGACGGAGCAACGCCGCGUGAGUGAUGAAGGUCUUCGGAUCGUAAAACUCUGUUAUUAGGGAAGAACAAAUGUGUAAGUAACUAUGCACGUCUUGACGGUACCUAAUCAGAAAGCCACGGCUAACUACGUG
This 497-nucleotide ribosomal RNA is filed under the name uncultured bacterium. RNAcentral describes it as "partial 16S ribosomal RNA". It matches the Rfam family "Bacterial small subunit ribosomal RNA", at positions 28 to 507 of the family's 1533-position model. The record is from RNAcentral.